Molecule: ribosomal RNA, 461 nt
Filed under: uncultured bacterium
Lineage: Bacteria
Description: bacterial SSU rRNA
Rfam family: Bacterial small subunit ribosomal RNA
Source: RNAcentral
CAGGCCUAACACAUGCAAGUCGAGCGGGGAAGGGUAGCUUGCUACAUUUCCUAGCGGCGGACGGGUGAGUAAUGCUUAGGAAUCUGCCUAUUAGUGGGGGACAACAUUCCGAAAGGAAUGCUAAUACCGCAUACGCCCUACGGGGGAAAGCAGGGGAUCUUCGGACCUUGCGCUAAUAGAUGAGCCUAAGUCAGAUUAGCUAGUUGGUGGGGUAAAGGCCUACCAAGGCGACGAUCUGUAGCGGGUCUGAGAGGAUGAUCAGCCACACUGGGACUGAGACACGGCCCAGACUCCUACGGGAGGCAGCAGUGGGGAAUAUUGGACAAUGGGCGAAAGCCUGAUCCAGCCAUGCCGCGUGAGUGAUGAAGGCCUUAGGGUUGUAAAGCUCUUUCGACGGGGACGAUAAUGACGGUACCCGUAGAAGAAGCCCCGGCUAACUUCGUGCCAGCAGCCGCGGUAAU